UAUGCGUGUGCAAGAGGCUUUAUGCGUGUGCAAGAGGUGUAAUGCGGUUGCAAGAGGCGUAAUGCGUGUGCAAGAGGCGUUAUGCGUGUGCAAGAGGCGUUAUGCGUGUGCAAUAGGCAUUAUGCGUGUGCGUGGCGGCUGCAUUACCUGUUAUUUCUAUUUUCAAUACAUGUGACAAUGAGAAGCACAAGGAAUUGAACCUCUUUUCCUAUGUAUAAAUACUAGGGAUGCACCGAUACCGAUACUUCGUUAAAAUACUCGUACUCGUACUCGUUUUGAAUUGCCGAUACCAAGCACCGAUACCACUCAUCAGUAUUUCACUGCAUCAAACUGGCCGGGCUAUGCUGACACAAAAUGUGAUUUAUUGUCCUACCUGUCCUACCACUCUCUGCCAGACUAAGCCCAGGGAGCACAAUGGAGCUGUUAAUCAGGAAGAAACCUUAAGCAUCACUGAAGCCCUGCCUCCAUCCAGGAAAUGCCCUAUUUAGUUCUGUGUUCCGGGCUGGAACACCCUGCAAAAAUUGAAGAAAACCAGAUAUACCAGCAGAGGGGGAGAAGCAAAGGUCCAGACCUUCCCAGUGGUGCUGAAACAGAACAUGAAGAUGAAGGCCAUGAAAUGACAACAGUGAUUUUCACAGCCAAGCACCUUAAGGCACAGAAAUAGUCAUUUCGUAUUCGAUUCAGUCUUUAAUCAUUUUAUUUUUAGUUAUUUUUAGCGUGUUAUGCUAUUGAUUGUCUGAUUUGUCUGAUACUGUUGUUAUCUGAGUGACACACUUUCCUUUAAUAAAACCAUAUC
Molecule: long non-coding RNA, 796 nt
Organism: Clupea harengus (Atlantic herring)
Lineage: Eukaryota; Metazoa; Chordata; Actinopteri; Clupeiformes; Clupeidae
Source: Ensembl